This 231-nucleotide ribosomal RNA is filed under the name uncultured bacterium. RNAcentral's name for it is "partial 16S ribosomal RNA". It matches the Rfam family "Bacterial small subunit ribosomal RNA", at positions 524 to 748 of the family's 1533-position model. The record is from RNAcentral.
UACGAAGGGGGCUAGCGUUGCUCGGAAUUCACUGGGCGUAAAGGGUGCGUAGGCGGGUCUUUAAGUCAGGGGUGAAAUCCUGGAGCUCAACGUCCAAGCAACUGCCUUUGAUACUGAAGAUCUUGAGUUCGGGAGAGGUGAGUGGAACUGCGAGUGUAGAGGUGAAAUUCGUAGAUAUUCGCAAGAACACCAGUGGCGAAGGCGGCUCACUGGCCCGAUACGUGACGGCUG